Molecule: long non-coding RNA, 420 nt
Filed under: Ananas comosus (pineapple)
Lineage: Eukaryota; Viridiplantae; Streptophyta; Magnoliopsida; Poales; Bromeliaceae
Description: long non-coding RNA (ACOM_LNC005760)
Source: RNAcentral
CAGCAACAAGCUCUUUAUGGGUCUACACACAAAAAUCACCAAAACUCCAUCGAAAUCCACAAUUUCAGCAUUUAAGCUUAAAUUCACAAAACCUCAAUGUCAAAUUCACCUUCCAAAGCUCAAUUCAGGUGAAGAAAGGUCCCAACAGUAGUGAAGUAUGAUGGAGUACUGUCUUCAGGUCCGAAAUUCAGCUUUCUCCCAGGUUUGAUCCAAGAAAACCAAUAAAACUCAGCUUUAGCCCGCAAGUACCAGCAUCUCAGAAGAAUACGAAAUUGACUAUACAAACCUCAAUCAAUUUCUGUCAAAUUUGCUCCACGAAUUCUCCAAGAAGUCAACUAACCACCAAACCAAGUUUCACAGCAAUCUGACCCUCCUACGUUGCACACGAGCCAAAACGCCGAAAGUCGCUGCUGGAAUUCU